RNAcentral lists this long non-coding RNA (204 nucleotides) under Lathyrus oleraceus (garden pea). RNAcentral's name for it is "Pisum sativum (pea) long non-coding RNA (PSAT_LNC014145)". Lineage: Eukaryota; Viridiplantae; Streptophyta; Magnoliopsida; Fabales; Fabaceae. The record is from RNAcentral.
AAAAUAUCUUGUUGUCUUGCUCUGGGAUUGGAAAAAAUAUUGCUCUAUAAUCUCGUGUUUUUUCUUUAGGUUUUUUAGAAAAUAUCUUGCUGUGUGUUCUUGCUGUUAACCUCUUCUUGAUCAAUUGCUUAAAUGACCAAUUUUAAAGCCUUGAAGAAAACUCCUUUUUCAAUUUGUCCCAUCCCAGAUUAUGUGGGAUUCGUU